This 253-nucleotide ribosomal RNA is filed under the name uncultured bacterium. Its description in RNAcentral is "partial 16S ribosomal RNA". It matches the Rfam family "Bacterial small subunit ribosomal RNA", at positions 524 to 776 of the family's 1533-position model. The record is from RNAcentral.
UACGUAGGGCGCAAGCGUUGUCCGGAAUUAUUGGGCGUAAAGAGCUCGUAGGCGGCCAGUUGCGUCUGCUGUGAAAUCCCGGGGCUCAACCCCGGGCGUGCAGUGGAUACGGGCUGGCUAGAGGCAGGCAGGGGAGAACGGAAUUCCCGGUGUAGCGGUGAAAUGCGCAGAUAUCGGGAGGAACACCGGUGGCGAAGGCGGUUCUCUGGGCCUGUACUGACGCUGAGGAACGAAAGCUAGGGGAGCAAAUGGG